Molecule: non-coding RNA, 72 nt
Organism: Candidatus Melainabacteria bacterium GWA2_34_9
Lineage: Bacteria; Bacillati; Candidatus Melainabacteria
Source: Rfam
GCCGGUGUAGCUCAACGGCAGAGCAACGGUUUUGUAAACCGUAGGUUGUAGGUUCGAAUCCCAUCACCGGCU